CGUUCAAACACACACACAACUAAAAAAAUCAAAGAAAACAACAACUACAACUACAAAAUUGACCGCCAAAAGCAUGUUACAGUAUUGGCUCCCCCAAAUCCAUUGGCUUCGGCUUUUCACCACUAUAGAAUGAUUUAUUUUUCUUGAUUUAUUUUUCAUUUUUUUUUCUUCUU
RNAcentral lists this non-coding RNA (173 nucleotides) under Durinskia baltica. Lineage: Eukaryota; Dinophyceae; Peridiniales; Kryptoperidiniaceae. The record is from RNAcentral.